UAUAUCCAGUCUAUUAUCAGAUCAGUGACUAUCUCUCAAAAGUUCAUUCAACUUUGAUUUUGCAUUUGAAUUUCGUAUCAGAGUAAUCAUGCAGAUGCAUUUACAUGAAUUUUUGAAAAUUUUUGGCCAGAAGAAUCAUCACAAAGUUAUAUCUUUUGGACUGACAAGUGACCAAAGAUCUACUGUUGAUACAUUCACAGGACCAAAUUCCUGCACAGUAUCCCCAAGACACUGUCUUUCUAUAAAGGCAUUUAUUCGUUGCCUUGGAGUCAGAAACAAUGAAUUGUAUGUCAACUGUUUGCAAGUAUCAGUGUAGGUGCUAUAUUAUUUAAAAACAUAGUGCAUCAAGAUACAA
Xenia sp. Carnegie-2017 is the source of this 355-nucleotide long non-coding RNA. RefSeq lists it as uncharacterized. Lineage: Eukaryota; Metazoa; Cnidaria; Anthozoa; Malacalcyonacea; Xeniidae. The transcript has 2 exons. The record is from RefSeq and is a predicted model, not a curated record.